CCUACGGGCGGCUGCAGUGGGGAAUAUUGGACAAUGGGGGGAACCCUGAUCCAGCCAUGCCGCGUGUGUGAAGAAGGCCUUUUGGUUGUAAAGCACUUUAAGCGAGGAGGAGGCUACCUAGAUUAAUACUUUAGGAUAGUGGACGUUACUCGCAGAAUAAGCACCGGCUAACUCUGUGCCAGCAGCCGCGGUAAUACAGCGGGUGCACUGGGUAAUCGGAUUUACUGGGCGUACAACUAAGUCAGAUGUCAAAUCCCCGAGCUUAACUUGGGAAUUGCAUUCGAUACUGGUUGGCUAGAGUAUGGGAGAGGAUGGUAGAAUUCCAGGUGUAGCGGUGAAAUGCGUAGAGAUCUGGAGGAAUACCGAUGGCGAAGGCAGCCAUCUGGCCUAAUACUGACGCUGAGGUACGAAAGCAUGGGGAGCAAACAGGAUUAGAUACCCCGGUAGUC
Molecule: ribosomal RNA, 449 nt
Filed under: uncultured bacterium
Lineage: Bacteria
Description: partial 16S ribosomal RNA
Rfam family: Bacterial small subunit ribosomal RNA
Source: RNAcentral